This 233-nucleotide long non-coding RNA is filed under the name Olea europaea (common olive). Its description in RNAcentral is "long non-coding RNA (OEUR_LNC003665)". Lineage: Eukaryota; Viridiplantae; Streptophyta; Magnoliopsida; Lamiales; Oleaceae. The record is from RNAcentral.
CCAAGAAACCAGUGUAUACUACACUCCUUAAUCAAUACCUAGAUGAAGUUGGCAGGGCUCCUUUCAGUUAAACAAAUUACCUUAAUGAAAAAAGCGUUACUCAUCCAUUUGUUCUUAUGCUUUGCUCGUUAAUUCACAAAAUGCAAAUGCAGCAGACAGGCUAGCACUUCUUGAAUUCAAGAACAGAAUAACUGAUGAUCCCUUCAAUUUCCUAAUUUUUUGGGACGAAUCUG